GACGAACGCUGGCGGCGUGCCUAAUACAUGCAAGUAGAACGCUGAAGAGAGGAGCUUGCUCUUCUUGGAUGAGUUGCGAACGGGUGAGUAACGCGUAGGUAACCUGCCUUGUAGCGGGGGAUAACUAUUGGAAACGAUAGCUAAUACCGCAUAACAAUGGAUGACCCAUGUCAUUUAUUUGAAAGGGGCAAAUGCUCCACUACAAGAUGGACCUGCGUUGUAUUAGCUAGUAGGUGAGGUAACGGCUCACCUAGGCGACGAUACAUAGCCGACCUGAGAGGGUGAUCGGCCACACUGGGACUGAGACACGGCCCAGACUCCUACGGGAGGCAGCAGUAGGGAAUCUUCGGCAAUGGGGGCAACCCUGACCGAGCAACGCCGCGUGAGUGAAGAAGGUUUUCGGAUCGUAAAGCUCUGUUGUAAGUCAAGAACGAGUGUGAGAGUGGAAAGUUCACACUGUGACGGUAGCUUACCAGAAAGGGACGGCUAACUACGUGCCAGCAGCCGCGGUAAUACGUAGGUCCCGAGCGUUGUCCGGAUUUAUUGGGCGUAAAGCGAGCGCAGGCGGUUUGAUAAGUCUGAAGUUAAAGGCUGUGGCUCAACCAUAGUUCGCUUUGGAAACUGUCAAACUUGAGUGCAGAAUGGGAGAGUGGAAUUCCAUGUGUAGCGGUGAAAUGCGUAGAUAUAUGGAGGAACACCGGUGGCGAAAGCGGCUCUCUGGUCUGUAACUGACGCUGAGGCUCGAAAGCGUGGGGAGCGAACAGGAUUAGAUACCCUGGUAGUCCACGCCGUAAACGAUGAGUGCUAGGUGUUGGAUCCUUUCCGGGAUUCAGUGCCGCAGCUAACGCAUUAAGCACUCCGCCUGGGGAGUACGACCGCAAGGUUGAAACUCAAAGGAAUUGACGGGGGCCCGCACAAGCGGUGGAGCAUGUGGUUUAAUUCGAAGCAACGCGAAGAACCUUACCAGGUCUUGACAUCCCGAUGCUAUUUCUAGAGAUAGAAAGUUACUUCGGUACAUCGGUGACAGGUGGUGCAUGGUUGUCGUCAGCUCGUGUCGUGAGAUGUUGGGUUAAGUCCCGCAACGAGCGCAACCCCUAUUGUUAGUUGCCAUCAUUCAGUUGGGCACUCUAGCGAGACUGCCGGUAAUAAACCGGAGGAAGGUGGGGAUGACGUCAAAUCAUCAUGCCCCUUAUGACCUGGGCUACACACGUGCUACAAUGGUUGGUACAACGAGUUGCGAGUCGGUGACGGCAAGCUAAUCUCUUAAAGCCAAUCUCAGUUCGGAUUGUAGGCUGCAACUCGCCUACAUGAAGUCGGAAUCGCUAGUAAUCGCGGAUCAGCACGCCGCGGUGAAUACGUUCCCGGGCCU
RNAcentral lists this ribosomal RNA (1369 nucleotides) under uncultured bacterium. Its description in RNAcentral is "bacterial SSU rRNA". It matches the Rfam family "Bacterial small subunit ribosomal RNA", at positions 28 to 1381 of the family's 1533-position model. The record is from RNAcentral.